GAGCGGAAUGAAGAGAGCUUGCUCUUUGAUUCAGCGGCGGACGGGUGAGUAAUGCCUAGGAUCUGCCUGAUAGUGGGGGACAACGUUUCGAAAGGAACGCUAAUACCGCAUACGUCCUACGGGAGAAAGUGGGGGAUCUUCGGACCUCACGCUAUCAGAUGAGCCUAGGUGGGAGGGGGCUAGUUGGUGGGGUAAAGGCCUACCAAGGCGACGAUCCGUAACUGGUCUGAGAGGAUGAUCAGCCACACUGGGACUGAGACACGGCCCAGACUCCUACGGGAGGCAGCAGUGGGGAAUUUUCCGCAAUGGCGAAAGCCUGACGGAGCAAGACCGGCGGGGGGGGAAGAAGGUCUGUGGAUUGUAAACCUCUUU
RNAcentral lists this ribosomal RNA (372 nucleotides) under uncultured Pseudomonas sp. RNAcentral describes it as "bacterial SSU rRNA". It matches the Rfam family "Bacterial small subunit ribosomal RNA", at positions 64 to 436 of the family's 1533-position model. The record is from RNAcentral. Lineage: Bacteria; Pseudomonadati; Pseudomonadota; Gammaproteobacteria; Pseudomonadales; Pseudomonadaceae.